This 253-nucleotide ribosomal RNA is filed under the name uncultured bacterium. RNAcentral describes it as "partial 16S ribosomal RNA". It matches the Rfam family "Bacterial small subunit ribosomal RNA", at positions 524 to 776 of the family's 1533-position model. The record is from RNAcentral.
UACGUAGGGUGCAAGCGUUAAUCGGAAUUACUGGGCGUAAAGCGUGCGCAGGCGGUUUUGUAAGUCUGACGUGAAAUCCCCGGGCUUAACCUGGGAACUGCAUUGGUGACUGCAUCGCUCGAGUAUGGCAGAGGGGGGUAGAAUUCCACGUGUAGCAGUGAAAUGCGUAGAGAUGUGGAGGAAUACCGAUGGCGAAGGCAGCCCCCUGGGUCAAUACUGACGCUCAUGCACGAAAGCGUGGGGAGCAAACAGG